UAGGGUAAUAAAUUAUUUAAUUUGACAGAAACCAAAUUACCACAUGUAGGGAAUGCCCUGAGCAAUGCAAGGAAGUUAUCUCUACAAAUCUAGUAUGGAGAAAUGGACAUUAAUAUCCCUCAAUAUUCUCUACAACCUAUCGAUUUUUCUUUCAUGAUUAACGAGCGUCAAAGUUAUCAUGAGAAGCCUAGAUGCCACGUACCAGACCUUCAUUCACCCCCAAUUUCAAUCUUCCGAGGAUGACGUCACGCGAAUUUGUUGGAUCAGCAAAGUUACGUCUCAAAUCAGUGACCCCAAAUUAGAGAUUUGAUUCGGUAUAAUUUUUUAGUGGCUGUGUGCAAGGAGGAAAAAGGUGGCAUGUUAUCAUUAAUUUCAACUCAUCUAGAAAACUGCACAUAAUACUUGUGCGUAUAUAGUUAAGCAGAGACAUGUAUGCAUCUAAGUUCUUUUUUAUUUCGAAUGGCAGAACUUUACUUUGAUUAUAGAACUAUUUUUUAUUUGCUCAACUAUGGUAAUCCAGUUAAUUACUGCUUAAUUUCCAUUUAAUAAGAAACGAGAUCUAGAGAGAGGAGACGAUGGAAGCUUCUCAGUAUUGUGUAAUCGAUGUUGUUGCGUACUCGUCGUUCUGAUGCUAUUACAUGCCCGUUACUGGUCUAAAACAGUUGUCUUUUGGUUAGGUGAUAUAUAAGUUCUGAAGUUUGGGUUUUCUUAGGACGACAGGCUGGUCCUGAUUGUGGAGCCUAAGAUAUUAUUAGACGGUGAACAUGGAACCGAUAGGACAUUCGUGGUUGAAAAAAAAAGUGUGGGCUGAGCCUGAGGUGUUCUUUUACCUGGCUGAGAACAAUGUGUUGUUUGAAGGAAUCCUUUUGAAGCCGAGCAUGGUUACACCUUGAGCCAAUUGCAAGGACAAAGCCACACCUCAACAAGUCGCGGAUUACACUCUCAAACUUCUCAAACAUAAAAUCCCACGUG
This is a long non-coding RNA of Helianthus annuus (common sunflower), 972 nucleotides long. RefSeq lists it as uncharacterized. Lineage: Eukaryota; Viridiplantae; Streptophyta; Magnoliopsida; Asterales; Asteraceae. The transcript is spliced from 3 exons. The record is from RefSeq and is a predicted model, not a curated record.